GAUGAACGCUGGCGGCGUGCCUAAUACAUGCAAGUCGAGCGAACAGACGAGGAGCUUGCUCCUCUGACGUUAGCGGCGGACGGGUGAGUAACACGUGGAUAACCUACCUAUAAGACUGGGAUAACUUCGGGAAACCGGAGCUAAUACCGGAUAAUAUAUUGAACCGCAUGGUUCAAUAGUGAAAGACGGUUUUGCUGUCACUUAUAGAUGGAUCCGCGCCGCAUUAGCUAGUUGGUAAGGUAACGGCUUACCAAGGCAACGAUGCGUAGCCGACCUGAGAGGGUGAUCGGCCACACUGGAACUGAGACACGGUCCAGACUCCGACGGGAGGCAGCAGUAGGGAAUCUUCCGCAAUGGGCGAAAGCCUGACGGAGCAACGCCGCGUGAGUGAUGAAGGUCUGCGGAUCGUAAAACUCUGUUAUUAGGGAAGAACAAAUGUGUAAGUAACUAUGCACGUCUUGACGGUACCUAAUCAGAAAGCCACGGCUAACUUCGU
This 496-nucleotide ribosomal RNA is filed under the name uncultured bacterium. Its description in RNAcentral is "partial 16S ribosomal RNA". It matches the Rfam family "Bacterial small subunit ribosomal RNA", at positions 28 to 506 of the family's 1533-position model. The record is from RNAcentral.